This 492-nucleotide ribosomal RNA is filed under the name uncultured bacterium. RNAcentral describes it as "partial 16S ribosomal RNA". It matches the Rfam family "Bacterial small subunit ribosomal RNA", at positions 29 to 507 of the family's 1533-position model. The record is from RNAcentral.
AGUGAACGCUGGCGGUAGGCCUAACACAUGCAAGUCGAACGGCAGCACAGUAAGAGCUUGCUCUUACGGGUGGCGGGUGGCGGACGGGUGAGGAAUACAUCGGAAUCUACUUUUUCGUGGGGGAUAACGUAGGGAAACUUACGCUAAUACCGCAUACGACCUACGGGUGAAAGCAGGGGAUCUUCGGACCUUGCGCGAUUGAAUGAGCCGAUGUCGGAUUAGCUAGUUGGCGGGGUAAAGGCCCACCAAGGCGACGAUCCGUAGCUGGUCUGAGAGGAUGAUCAGCCACACUGGAACUGAGACACGGUCCAGACUCCUACGGGAGGCAGCAGUGGGGAAUAUUGGACAAUGGGCGCAAGCCUGAUCCAGCCAUACCGCGUGGGUGAAGAAGGCCUUCGGGUUGUAAAGCCCUUUUGUUGGGAAAGAAAAGCAGCAGGUUAAUACCCCGCUGUUCUGACGGUACCCAAAGAAUAAGCACCGGCUAACCUCGUG